CCUACAGGUGGCAGCAGUGGGGAAUAUUGGGCAAUGGGCGCAAGCCUGACCCAGCAACGCCGCGUGAAGGAAGAAGGUUUUCGGGUUGUAAACUUCUUUUCUCAGGGACGAAGGAAGUGACGAUACCUGAGUAAUAAGCCACGGCUAACUACGUGCCAGCAGCCGCGGUAAUACGUAGGGGGCAAGCGUUAUCCGGAUUUACUGGGUGUAAAGGGCGUGUAGGCGGGAAAGCAAGUCAGAUGUGAAAACCAUGGGCUUAACCUGAGGACUGCAUAUGAAACUAUUUAUCUUGAGUACUGGAGAGGAAGACGGAAUUCCUAGUGUAGCGGUGAAAUGCGUAGAUAUUAGGAAGAACACCAGUGGCGAAGGCGGUCUUCUGGACAGCAACUGACGCUGAGGCGCGAAAGCGUGGGGAGCAAACAGGAUUAGAUACCCUAGUAGUC
RNAcentral lists this ribosomal RNA (443 nucleotides) under uncultured bacterium. RNAcentral describes it as "partial 16S ribosomal RNA". It matches the Rfam family "Bacterial small subunit ribosomal RNA", at positions 338 to 795 of the family's 1533-position model. The record is from RNAcentral.